Arachis stenosperma is the source of this 345-nucleotide long non-coding RNA. RefSeq lists it as uncharacterized. The transcript has 3 exons. Lineage: Eukaryota; Viridiplantae; Streptophyta; Magnoliopsida; Fabales; Fabaceae. The record is from RefSeq and is a predicted model, not a curated record.
CCUUCCUCUUCCGACCUUCCUCAUCGCGCUUCCCUCACCUUGGUAGGGCUCUGUCUGUUCCUCACUUCCUCGUCGUCCUCCACGCCCAGUAGCGGCAUCUCCUCCAAGCAGCAGGAGCUGGGUCGUCCUCCACGAACAUCAUUCUUCGUUUCUUCCAGGACUUAAAGAGGAGUCACCAACAUUUGAUUCCAUUCAAUUCACCCUUCACAAACCCUAAUUUUCAACCAGAGUGAGCAUGAAAGAUGGCACCAACUCUACCUCGGACUUUUUGAUGGAAUUCUUGGUAGCAGCUUGACUUGUCAGAGUUGCUCAUCCCAGAUCUCAAUUAACUUAAAACAAUUUGAU